UAGAAUUGGACCUCAAUUUGAAGCUUUUAAACUCAAUGUUAUUCGAAUAAAGAGAGUUCGCACCAGGAAACCUCAAACCAAACCUUAACCACGACCAAACUCAACUCAGUAUAGAGAAAUACAAACCGAACAGAUUCGAAAAACCAAUAGAGAAUCUCAAAAUGACUGACUCCAGCCCGGUAUAAAAAACUAAUGACAAAAUUGAGUCAAAAUUAAAUAAAAACUACAGAUCAAACUACAAAAUAAAAAUCCCAAUUGAUCCAAGAACAGAAUCGUGAUAAAACCCAAAACCAUAUGCGAGAACUUUGCGGAAAUAAAAUCAAACAGGAUGAAUUCGAUGAGAAAUUGGCUGUUGGUUCUUGUUUUCCGGUGACGAGAAAUGUAUUCAAGUCGGCGGUGAUGAAAAGUGACUGUUUACCAGCGAGAAAUUCACCGAAAAAAUCAACACUGGAAGAAUUUCGUUCAACCUCCGUGAUUUCCCAUUAUUCUCUAUUCUCACCUUCUCUCUCGCGACCUUCUAUUUUAUCUACCUCGUGAGUGCGUCACUAUUGUGUCUGUGUCUUUGUGGAGUUCCGGUGAGAGUAUAUGUGUAUUUUGGUGGGUAGUGUAUUUGUCUUUUCUGGUGAGGUGUGUGUAUUUAUAUUGUGUGUGUGUAUUUCAGAGUGUAUUUCGAGUGAGCUGUGUGAGUGCAUUUUCCUUUGUUCAAUAGAAAAAAUCCCAGCAUUUUUUCAUAGCUGUGCGUGUAUUUAUAUUACUCUUAAUCCAUGGAAAGAUGACGAACGAUGUGUGUAUGUGUAGUGGCUAUGAAUAUGGUGGGCCCCUCCAAGUGUUGUGAUGUGUGUAUUUAUGAAAUUCCCCUCUUUUUUUCUGUG
RNAcentral lists this long non-coding RNA (872 nucleotides) under Capsicum annuum. RNAcentral's name for it is "long non-coding RNA (CANN_LNC014763)". The record is from RNAcentral. Lineage: Eukaryota; Viridiplantae; Streptophyta; Magnoliopsida; Solanales; Solanaceae.